AAGAGACAGCGCCGCCGGCCGUGGGGAGCGGACGCAGUGAUUUGCUCCCCCUCGUGCAGCAACCCCCACACCCAGCACCAGGCCCCCAGAACUCUCCUUCCAGCUGAACUCCCUGGGAACAAGUCAGUUGGGCUGAUCACUGAACUCACAUUUCUGGACCUGAGGAGCCUGUUCCUCUCACGCCCUCACCUGGCUGAGCCGCAGUAGUUCUUCAGUGGCAAGCUUUAUGUCCUGACCCAGCUAAAGCUGCCAGUUGAAGAACUGUUGCCCUCUGCCCCUGGCUUCGAGGAGGAGGAGGAGCUGCUUUCCCCAUCAUCUGGAAGCGGCUACAGGAAGCUGUGUCUGUUCGAUUUGGUGGGAGGAGAUGUGCAGGGAGCUGUAUCUUGUCCUCCGCUUGUGAAAAACUCAAGGAUGUGGAGAAGAGUAGACCGUGGAACCCUGCUCUUCUGCAGCCAAGCUGAGGGGCAGGAUGCGUGUGGGACAGUGGUAGAGAAGCAGGGGAUAGACUCAUAGGCUGCAACAAAGGUCACUCUGUCCCUGGACACUGCCUCCGUACUUUCUCCUUGCUUCACUGGCCACAGCAUCUCCCUCCAGCCCUCGCUAUGUGCCUCUGCCAUCUUCACCCAUCAUGGAGCAGAGGUGAGGAGA
This 648-nucleotide long non-coding RNA is filed under the name Pan troglodytes (chimpanzee). Its description in RNAcentral is "lincRNA". The stretch from base 192 to 275 matches the Rfam family "mir-22 microRNA precursor family". The record is from RNAcentral. Lineage: Eukaryota; Metazoa; Chordata; Mammalia; Primates; Hominidae.